RNAcentral lists this ribosomal RNA (484 nucleotides) under uncultured bacterium. RNAcentral's name for it is "partial 16S ribosomal RNA". It matches the Rfam family "Bacterial small subunit ribosomal RNA", at positions 30 to 507 of the family's 1533-position model. The record is from RNAcentral.
AUUGAACGCUGGCGGCAGGCCUAACACAUGCAAGUCGAGCGGAUGAAGUUAGCUUGCUCCUGGAUUCAGCGGCGGACGGGUGAGUAAUUCCUAGGAAUCUGCUUGGUAUUGGGGGAUAACGUCCGGAAACGGGCGCUAAUACCGCAUACGUCCUGAGGGUUAAAGUUGGGGAUCUUCGGACCUCACUCUAUCAGAUGAGCCUAGGUCGGAUUAGCUAGUUGGUGGGGUAAAGGCCUACCAAGGCGAUGAUCCGUAACUGGUCUGAGAGGAGGAUCAGUCAGACUGGAACUGGAAAACGGUCAAGACUCCUACGGGAGGCAGCAGUGGGGAAUAUUGGACAAUGGGGGAAAGCCUGAUCAAGACAGGCCGCGUGUGUGAAGAAGGUCUUCGGAUUGUAAAGAACGUUAAGUGGGGAGAAAGGGCAGUAAGUUGAUACCUUGCUGUAGUGACGGUAACAACAGAAUAAGCACCGGCUAACUACGUG